UAAGGAAUAUUGGUCAAUGGACGAAAGUCUGAACCAGCCAUGCCGCGUGAAGGAUUAAGGUCCUCUGGAUUGUAAACUUCUUUUAUAUGGGACGAAAAAAGGCGAUUCUUCGUCACUUGACGGUACCAUAUGAAUAAGCACCGGCUAACUCCGUGCCAGCAGCCGCGGUAAUACGGAGGGUGCAAGCGUUAUCCGGAUUCACUGGGUUUAAAGGGUGCGUAGGCGGGCAGGUAAGUCAGUGGUGAAAUCCUAGAGCUUAACUCUAGAACUGCCAUUGAUACUAUCUGUCUUGAAUAUUGUGGAGGUAAGCGGAAUAUGUCAUGUAGCGGUGAAAUGCUUAGAUAUGACAUAGAACACCUAUUGCGAAGGCAGCUUACUACGCAUAUAUUGACGCUGAGGCACGAAAGCGUGGGGAUCAAACA
This 422-nucleotide ribosomal RNA is filed under the name uncultured Sediminibacterium sp. RNAcentral describes it as "bacterial SSU rRNA". It matches the Rfam family "Bacterial small subunit ribosomal RNA", at positions 355 to 774 of the family's 1533-position model. Lineage: Bacteria; Pseudomonadati; Bacteroidota; Chitinophagia; Chitinophagales; Chitinophagaceae. The record is from RNAcentral.